CCGUAACUAGAGCUAGAGUUUUUUAAUUUCAUAGAAACAUACCUUAAUUCGGCUACAACAUCUGCGUAUUUACAACAUGUUUUAAAACCCGGAAAACCACACAUCGUUUGAAAUCCUUUGCGAUUUUAUUUUUACUCCUACACGCAAUUGUUGUGCCAAGGAGUGUUAACGAGAUGUUGUGAAUUAGCCUUUCUCAUGAUGAUGAAUAAUAUCCGCCAUUUUUGGGUGGCAUCAAAUUCCCGUUAAAAUUAACCAAUGCAGACAAUUAAAACAAUUUGAAAAGCAAUUUUUCAAAAUAAACUAACCAUUUACAAA
Molecule: non-coding RNA, 315 nt
Organism: Paramuricea clavata
Lineage: Eukaryota; Metazoa; Cnidaria; Anthozoa; Malacalcyonacea; Plexauridae
Source: the annotation of a GenBank genome assembly